This 373-nucleotide unclassified non-coding RNA is filed under the name uncultured bacterium. RNAcentral's name for it is "contains 16S-23S intergenic spacer region". The record is from RNAcentral.
UCCGGUUUGUCACCGGCAGUCUCCCUAGAGUGCCCUUGCGUAGCAACUAGGGACAAGGGUUGCGCUCGUUGCGGGACUUAACCCAACACCUCACGGCACGAGCUGACGACAGCCAUGCAGCACCUUACGAUCUGUGUCUUGCGACAAAAUGAGCUUUCACCCACGGUCAAACCGCAUUCUAGCCCAGGUAAGGUUCCUCGCGUAUCAUCGAAUUAAACCACACGCUCCGCUGCUUGUGCGGGCCCCCGUCAAUUCCUUUGAGUUUCAACCUUGCGGUCGUACUCCCCAGGCGGGGUACUUCCUGCGUUAGCGCCGGCACCCAGAGGGUCGCUCCCCCAGGCACCUAGUACCCAUCGUUUACGGCGUGGACUAC